Molecule: small nucleolar RNA, 179 nt
Filed under: Monopterus albus (swamp eel)
Lineage: Eukaryota; Metazoa; Chordata; Actinopteri; Synbranchiformes; Synbranchidae
Description: Small nucleolar RNA SNORA81 (ENSMALG00000007094.1)
Rfam family: Small nucleolar RNA SNORA81
Source: RNAcentral
UCCUUCUGCAUCAACAGACGCCUGCUAUAAUUGUGUGACUCAGUUUUCUGUUUCUUGCAAUAAUGCUAGCAGACUAUUGCGUAGAAGGAAAUUAUUGCGCACUGUAUUGAAAAUGAGAUGUGGUUGAACCUCUUUCUUAAUGUUCGUUGGCCUUGGUCUCAAGGUGCAGUGCUACAGUU